UACGUAGGGUGCAAGCGUUGUCCGGAAUUAUUGGGCGUAAAGAGCUCGUAGGCGGUUUGUCGCGUCGAAUGUGAAAACCCGGGGCUCAACCCCGGGCCUGCAUUCGAUACGGGCAGACUAGAGUUCGGUAGGGGAGUCUGGAAUUCCUGGUGUAGCGGUGAAAUGCGUAGAUAUUGGGAGGAACACCGGUGGCGAAGGCGGCCCUCUGGACCGGUACUGACGCUGAUGCGCGAAAGCGUGGGGAGCAAACGGG
RNAcentral lists this ribosomal RNA (253 nucleotides) under uncultured bacterium. RNAcentral's name for it is "partial 16S ribosomal RNA". It matches the Rfam family "Bacterial small subunit ribosomal RNA", at positions 524 to 776 of the family's 1533-position model. The record is from RNAcentral.